RNAcentral lists this ribosomal RNA (371 nucleotides) under uncultured Methanolinea sp. RNAcentral's name for it is "bacterial SSU rRNA". It matches the Rfam family "Archaeal small subunit ribosomal RNA", at positions 968 to 1338 of the family's 1478-position model. Lineage: Archaea; Methanobacteriati; Methanobacteriota; Methanomicrobia; Methanomicrobiales; Methanoregulaceae. The record is from RNAcentral.
CUGCUUGACUAGCUGAGAGGAGGUGCAUGGCCGUCGUCAGUUCGUACUGUGAAGCAUCCUGUUAAGUCAGGCAACGAGCGAGACCCACGCCAACAGUUGCCAGCAUGUCCUCCGGGAUGAUGGGGACACUGUUGGGACCGCCUCUGCUAAAGAGGAGGAAGGAAUGGGCAACGGUAGGUCAGCAUGCCCCGAAUUAUCCGGGCUACACGCGGGCUACAAUGGUCAGGACAAUGGGUAUCGACACCGAGAGGUGGAGGCAAUCUCCUAAACCUGUCCUUAGUUCGGAUUGUGGGCUGCAACUCGCCCACAUGAAGCUGGAAUCCGUAGUAAUCGCGUUUCAAAAUAGCGCGGUGAAUAUGUCCCUGCUCCUU